AGAUUGAACGCUGGCGGCAGGCCUAACACAUGCAUGUCGAGCGGUAGAGAGGUGCUUGCAUCUCUUGAGAGCGGCGGACGGGCGAGUAAUGCCUAGGAAUCUGCCUAGUGGUGGGGGAUAACGUUCGGAAACGGACGCUAAUACCGCAUACGUCCUACGGGAGAAAGCGGGGGACCUUCGGGCCUCGCGCCAUUAGAUGAGCCUAGGUCGGAUUAGCUAGUUGGUGA
Molecule: ribosomal RNA, 227 nt
Filed under: uncultured soil bacterium
Lineage: Bacteria
Description: partial 16S ribosomal RNA
Rfam family: Bacterial small subunit ribosomal RNA
Source: RNAcentral